This 1428-nucleotide long non-coding RNA is filed under the name Homo sapiens (human). Its description in RNAcentral is "HSALNT0128146". Lineage: Eukaryota; Metazoa; Chordata; Mammalia; Primates; Hominidae. The record is from RNAcentral.
UCUUGCUUCAUUUACUGGGAGGGUCAACUGAGAUAAUAAGUCAGAAUGUGUUUUUAAAAUUCUGGAGCCCAACUGUAGAAAAAAUCUAUAGAAAAGUAAUUUUUUUCUUGAAACAACUGUCUUGUUGUGAUCAUGACCUAAUGGUGAUCACAAUUUCUAGAUAGAAGACUACCUCCAAAAGAUGCCCAUGGCUCUCCCAGGCUUAAACCCUCUUAUGGCAACCAUUGCCUCCUAUUGGGAAGCAGGGAGCAUAGCUUUUACACUGCACUGAAGAUAUCCUCUCCACUUCCUCCUGUCUCCAAUGACUGGUUGCCGUAUUCUUGUGGCUGACUCCUCUGAUGAAGACAGCGCUAAUUCCAGCAGAGGCACAACACAGAGCUGUCCCAGUAGCCAAGUGUAAACCAGCAGAGUUCUUUGAUCUUCAGCCUGCUGCAUUCUUUGGGUGGCCAAAACUUUGGAAGGACAAGCUGAAAGAGUAUGUCUGGUGUUUGGAAGCCAGGUCAGAGGACUUUUUCAUACUGGCUUCAAAGUAUCCUUCAUCUUCAUAAAUGAAGAAAGCUAUCUUGGAGCAAGGAAAAUGUCGGAAGUAAAGGGUCUCACAAAAGACUUUCUUCAAUAAACUGCAGCAAAGAAAAAUUGAUGGAGCAUGAAAAUCUCGGGCUAAUAAUAGUAUAUGAAAGAAGAACAGAAAGUGUGUGCCAAGGUGUGACCCACUGAGAGAACCCUGGAGACAAGAGUGUACAGAUAAUGUAUCACGUAAUUCUAGAUUUUGUCAUGAAUUCCAUGAUGUAUUAAAAUAAUUAUUUCAGGAUAUUAUUGUCCCAUUGGCUUCAAAGGAUAAUGCAGAAAAACUAAGAGCCUCAGAAUUUUUUUAAAGAAAAUCAAAUUAGCUACCACAUUAAAAGUCUAUUUUUAUUUCAUUGUUGAUAUUUUCCAAGAAAAAAUAUAUUUCUAAAAUCUUCGGAAUCCAUUUGUGUGUUACCUUUUAAAACAUAGGAAAAAGGUAAAAUAGGCCAUCAGCUGAAAACACUUGUCUCUCCUGCAGUGCGAUAAUCUACUCACAUGAAAAUAUAAUGAGUCACUUUAAGAAUCAUCACACACAUCUCUUGCAGUUUGCCCAAGUGUUGGGAAUUUGUCAGGAAGAAAGCUACCUAUCAUCUGGUCUUUGGGACCACCAUGUGAUACUAUUCCAAGAUUCUGAAAAUCCAAGCAAUCUCAUUCACUGAGAGAAUAGUCAAAUGAUGUGUACUUUGUGAAAGUCAUACAAUAAAAAGAAAAACAUAACAGUAAAUCAGUUUUAUACUUUAAAUGUGAAAUUUUAGAUCCCAGUGUGUAUCACAGAACACAGUGCAAUCAUUGUUAGUUUCAUUUUUUUCCCUUAAAAAACUGCAAGGUAUUAUAAAUUGUGAAUAAUUUAAAACAUUAAAU